Molecule: ribosomal RNA, 482 nt
Filed under: uncultured bacterium
Lineage: Bacteria
Description: partial 16S ribosomal RNA
Rfam family: Bacterial small subunit ribosomal RNA
Source: RNAcentral
AUUGAACGCUGGCGGCAUGCCUUACACAUGCAAGUCGAACGGUAACAGGUCUUCGGCUGCUGACGCGUGGCGAACGGGUGAGUAAUACAUCGGAACGUGCCCGAUCGUGGGGGAUAACGGAGCGAAAGCUUUGCUAAUACCGCAUACGAUCUACGGAUGAAAGCAGGGGACCGCAAGGCCUUGCGCGGACGGAGCGGCCGAUGGCAGAUUAGGUAGUUGGUGGGAUAAAAGCAUACCAAGCCGACGAUCUGUAGCUGGUCUCAGAGGACGACCAGCCACACUGGGACUGAGACACGGCCCAGACUCCUACGGGAGGCAGCAGUGGGGAAUUUUGGACAAUGGGCGAAAGCCUGAUCCAGCCAUGCCGCGUGCAGGAUGAAGGCCUUCGGGUUGUAAACUGCUUUUGUACGGAACGAAAAGACUCUUUCUAAUAAAGAGGGUCCAUGACGGUACCGUAAGAAUAAGCACCGGCUAACUACGUG